AUGUUUGCAUGUCAUGUUUUGGGCCAAACAACAUAUGUGAAUGGGCAGAGGCAAGGUUUGAUACUAGAGAAGCCAUUUUGCUUAGGGGAUACCAUAACAAAGGGGAUAGGUUCCUCAUAUUUUUCGGCACAUCAGAAUACCGUGUUGGAUAUCGAGGCUGAGAUCAAGUUGGCUUUUUACUCCAGAAGGCAUUCUUCUGCCUCUGCUUCUGUUACUCAAGAAAUGAAAGAGUUAGGUAGUCGAGGUAUUCUAGUAUUUCCCUGUUACUUUCUCAUGUCUGUAGAUACGAAUACACACAUGAAGUAUUUGAUUUGUGCAAUUUAUUUAUUCAUAGGGCCAAACUCUAUGGUUGGCAAGACACUUAUGUGUUCACAAAGGCCAUGGGCGAGAUGGUCAUCAACUGCAUGCGAGGAGAGAUACCGGUGGUAA
This 429-nucleotide ribosomal RNA is filed under the name Triticum aestivum (bread wheat). RNAcentral describes it as "partial small subunit ribosomal RNA". Lineage: Eukaryota; Viridiplantae; Streptophyta; Magnoliopsida; Poales; Poaceae. The record is from RNAcentral.